CGAAAUGGCUCAGAAAAGCGGGUUAGAGGCUCUCGAUAUCGGCGCUUUGAGUUCGGAACAGCAGGAGAAACUCAAACAAUUUAAGGUAACAAAAAGAAAAGACGGAAAAUACGAUCAAUACUCGCAUUGCUAACGAAAAAUACCUCCGGUCGCAUCCGGAAGUUGAAAUGAUAUUGGGCGAAUUUCUGAGAGAAAUCCUUUUAAAACG
This is a long non-coding RNA of Acipenser ruthenus (sterlet), 208 nucleotides long. RefSeq lists it as uncharacterized. The transcript has 3 exons. The record is from RefSeq and is a predicted model, not a curated record. Lineage: Eukaryota; Metazoa; Chordata; Actinopteri; Acipenseriformes; Acipenseridae.